Molecule: long non-coding RNA, 536 nt
Organism: Nicotiana attenuata
Lineage: Eukaryota; Viridiplantae; Streptophyta; Magnoliopsida; Solanales; Solanaceae
Exons: 2
Source: RefSeq, a predicted model, not a curated record
CAAAAAUACAAUUCUAUUUAUAACAUUUCUAUUGUUAUAAAAAGUUUGAUUAAUAAUAAAUAACCGCAUGUUACUUGUUAGCUUGAUAAGCAAGUCACCCGGUCCAUAUAAAUUUGCUAGGAUGCUGUUAGAGUUGAUGCACACGCGGAAACACAUUAAAGAAAAGGAACAUUACUUUCAGACCGAGCAAUAAAUGCGGCUUCAAUUGGCUAUUUGAGCUUGAAAUCCUAUACUCUGAACAUUGCCGAAUUGUAGCUUUAUUUCUAUGCCAAGAGCUGUCCAAGCUUUAUUAUAUUCCAGGAUUUGUCCAAAAGCACAGUAGGUCAUUCAAGACUAUGUCCACAAUGCAUUCAAUCUCUUGCUGCAGCCAUAUUGAGAAUGCAACUCCAUGAUUGCUUUAUCAUGGACUCAGGACAUAUGGUGAUAUUUGACAAUUAUGGAUUGAAUUGACUUCUCUUUCUUUCUUUAUUUAGAACCAGAACAUAAUGUGGGCUGAGUAAUUUUCUGAUUUGAUUUAUUGUUGACCUUGAAUUUGA